UUCUUAUUAUUUUACUAUAAGUAAAAUCUGCUCACUGUUAAAUAAAUAGCCGCAGAAUUUUAACUGUGCUAAGGUAGCAUAAUCAUUUACCUUUUAAUUAAAGGUUUGCAUGAACGAUUUAACAAUUGAAAUGCUUUUUUAUUAAUAAAUAUAAAAAUUAAGCUAAACAUAAAAACGUGUUUAUAAACUAAAUAGACGACAAGACCCUAUUGAACUUUACUAAAGUUAAGCUGGGGCAGCUAAUUAAAUACAAUUUUAAUUUAUACUUUUUCAAAAAUUUCUGAAUUCUUCAUAAAAACAAGUUACCAUAGGGAUAACAGCGUGAUAUUUUUUUAAAGCUCUUAUUAAAAAAAAAGGUUACGACCUCGAUGUUGAAUUAGAAUUUCUUUAAGACGCAAUAGUAUUAAAAGAAGGUCUGUUCGACCUUUAAACUUCUACA
Molecule: ribosomal RNA, 439 nt
Filed under: Troglohyphantes oromii
Lineage: Eukaryota; Metazoa; Arthropoda; Arachnida; Araneae; Linyphiidae
Description: partial large subunit ribosomal RNA
Rfam family: Bacterial large subunit ribosomal RNA
Source: RNAcentral